UUGUGAGAAGUUCAUUAAACCUUAUCAUUUAGAGGAAGGAGAAGUCGUAACAAGGUUUCCGUAGGUGAACCUGCGGAAGGAUCAUUGUACACACAAUAAAGCAAACCAGCGAACUGUUGUUGUCCCCCGAGGGGCCUCACCCGGAGGUGAGGCCGUCGAUGGCGUGACCCGGCCCAAGAGGCUGGCCUGCGGGCGAAGCGGGGUGCCGUCGGCUGGAGUGUCCCGUACUCGCGGCUCCGGUCGUUCGUGGCUGGCUCCUCCGGGAGUGAGUCGUUGGCGGUCGAGGUCGGGCCCUCCCCUCCCCCUCUGUCCCCGUCUUUGGGGACUCGGGGGCCGAUUUUUCCACAAGCAGCUUGAGGAACGCGAAACGAGAGACUGAGCCUGGGGUCCUAGCCUUGCCCUCACGGGUGAGAGUUCGGGGCCCCGAGUUGAAAACAAAAACAACGACUCUCAGCAACGGAUAUCUUGGCUCUUGCAACGAUGAAGAACGCAGCGAAAUGCGAUACCUAGUGUGAAUUGCAGAAUUCCGCGAAUCAUCGAGUCUUUGAACGCAAGUUGCGCCCGAGGCUUGUCCCGAGGGCAUGCCUGCCUGAGCGUCACCGCACUCCCACUCCCGUGGUUACAUCUCGGUUCGCGAACCGGGGGUGCUGCCGAGAGUGGAACUGGCCGUCCGGGACCUGGCGUGAAGCCGAUGGUGUCGCGGUUGGCUGAAAUGCAGCGUUCUGGAUGCAACUCAAGAGAGGGGCCGCGAGAAGGUGAUCCGCCCCUCGCCGGGUGGAGUCAAAAGACAGCGGUUCUCUCGCUUGGGUGAUCCGGGACGACCGCGAUGGGGCACGGCUCCGUCGGGGAAAAAUGUGAGGAGGUGGCCUGUUCAUCUCCUCUCCAGCUUGGACCUCAGAUCAGGCAAGAUUACCCGCUGAGUUUAAGCAUAUCACUAAGCGGAGGAAAAGAAACUAAC
Molecule: ribosomal RNA, 958 nt
Filed under: Herbertus sendtneri
Lineage: Eukaryota; Viridiplantae; Streptophyta; Jungermanniopsida; Jungermanniales; Herbertaceae
Description: eukaryotic LSU rRNA
Rfam family: 5.8S ribosomal RNA (bases 446-599)
Source: RNAcentral